GGGCCGGGCGCGUCUGCCCAGCGGUAGCAGCGGGGACCUGGUCAACGAACGAGCGAGGAGGGGGUAGGGAGGGAGGGCAGGCGGUAACCAGCAGCGGUAAAAGGUUAGGGUGAUAAUAUUUGAGCAAGGGGAGGGUUCUUGGGCGUUUCGCGUCCGUCCGUCCGUAGAAGGAGGGGGAAGGAGGAGGAGGGGGCAGGAGGCGGCGGCGACGACCGAAAGGAAGGCCGCUCGCUCCUAGCAGGGACUAGGCAGGCCCCGAGCGGGGGGCGGAGGAGGCACGGACCUCCACUUUAUUCGUUUAUAAAAGGACUGCAGUUCAAACGAUGUCUGACCGGGAAGGAACCGACUUGGCCGUGUGUGAUGGUUGUACCUUUGUAUGUGGUGCCUACUACGCGAAUGUCGGUACCCUAAACCUUUUAACGUUCCUGAACAAGAACAAAUACGUCCGUACCCAACCCAACGUCUUCGGUACCUCCAGUACGAUGACAGUAAACAACCUGGUGACUAAGCUCUCCUUACCUUUUAGAGACGGGUUCUACUUUCAAAUGAGAGUUCACAUCACAAAAACCCGUACAAUUAACCUCGUACACCAACCCCUAUACACAGACUGUUUAUACCCGCUUCCUGACCAAAUGACGAAAGUUGAGACAAAUGAUGACCUUACCCAAAGGAUUCACGAAACAGAGGUUUGAUAAAUACAAACUACCGAGAAGCGAAAGAGCAACCGCAUCCUGACCCACCGUCGGUACACAUAAGUAGAACCAAAAACCUCAAACAAGGACGCGUUUUAGCACCGAAAACCUACUAAUAAAAAAGGAAAAAAACCUGAUAACCGUGUCAGAACCUCCGAAGUGAACGUACCUAACAGCAUAGUUGUAACUGAACCUCCACCAACGAUCGUAACUGACGGUAGGGAACGAAAGAGAACGAGGGAAAGAAACCUUAAUGUGGACUUAGCGGUGCGAUAGACACACGCGUUUUAUCUUAUAGACUACGUUGUGAACAGGACCUCUCUUAGCGGCUCUGUUUGGUUCGUUGAGAAGGAGGACCUCAAGAGCAUAUGGGAGCUCUGCCACUUCAACUAGUAUCAUGAGAAUGGAGACUCCGUCUAGUAGAAGAAGGUGAGUCUCUCUUCCUUACGUGUCUACUACUACAGUGUUCGGGGUUUAGACCAUCACGACGACGUAACGCGUCAGACGACAGUGCCUUUAACGCAUCUAGUUGAGAAGAUGAAACCAAACAAAAGAUGCGUUUAAGGAAACGAAUAAUACCUGAUCAGAACGACUGGCGCGUUGACUCGUUACGUUUAUUUUCGACACGUAGACCCGACUUUAUACACUUCUCACUUUGUCUACGGUCGGAAAUGUUUCUAUGUAAACAGUGAUCAGAACGUCGAUGUUACACCACGAACGAGAAGUGUACGACACCAAAGGAACCGGGUGAACACAAAAUAGUCUCACUCGAUACCUGUUGACCGGAAGAUAAACCACGAGCACGAACACGGUACCCAUCGAUGUGUCAACAUACAAAUAUACGGGGUCUCCAAGCAUAGAAAAAGAGUACCGUACGUCAUUUACACAAAGAACCACUGAACUGGUAGUGUCAUAUCACUCAAAUUACACAACUUUCAUGGCGGACCAUCCGGAUAUUCAACGUUAAAGUUGUAAUAUAGGUAGCUAAACCGAUCCAUGAAUUUUACCAUAAAACGAAGGACUUAUAAACUUAAAAAAAUACAGACGUAAUGUAAAGUAUUACUUCUAUAUACAUUCAUUUGACCACGCUCAUUCUGGAUUUGCUUAUUUUGUAUGAUGACGUAGGAAGAAUAAUUAUAAUAAGUCAUUACAAAAGAACAGUGUGACAGUAUAAUACUGGUAACACUGAAAAAAUACAUAACUUAAUGUACUUCCCUCAUAGAAAUCUGUCCUGGAUACGUUCCCGAAAAACAUAGAUACUAGAGGUGUAGUUCGAGAACGUUUCGCUACCUGAAGAGAUUCUGUCUUCUCUUCGUUCGUUGGCUGACUAUAUUCGUGCCAGUGUUCUUAUAAAAUGAACGAUCUCGUAGGUGAAAAAUCAUAGUAACUAAACGUAAACAAUUAAAACUCAAAUAAUAACCCAAAUGUUCCACAAGUGGUGUCUUAAAACACGAAGCUUUAAAGAACUCCUGGGAUCGUAGCACAUCCAAAGAAACCAAAUAUCCAUUAGGUUACGUCACUAUUUCCUAAGAGGAAGGUAGUAACAACAUGAACAGGAUGAAUAAAUUUAGUAUUUAAUUUAGACAAUUGAUACAGGUCAGUCUUACAUGGGUCCUACAUUUGUUUGCCUGUAGGACCAGGUGUCUAUUGAGCCGAUUUACUUCAGAUUGCUAAGACUAGGUAAAAGGACUGUUUUUUGGUUGAUUCAAUACCGUACACCAUAAGGGGCAGAAUCCCAGAACAAAUACGAGAAUCGAUCCUUGCGAAUCUUACAAUACUGUUUCUAUGUAGUCAACAACGUCGUUUAAAAUGGGUUUUGUCAGAACAUCUCGUCAACAGUCAUCUAUAAAGCGAAUUCCUCAAGACAAAAGGAUACUUGAUUGAAUAAGAGAACAGGAAGAUCCAUAUGGGCUGCAGCCACGCGAGCUGGCCCCAACCUUAGCGCUGGCGGUACCCCUCUCAGCCACCUUAAUAAACGGGGGAACAUCGGCAACCCUACGACUCUUCGACGGUAGUCUACCUUCGUUAGUAACACAAACUCCACCACAAUAAGGAACGACGUUAACGGACGUACGAGAAGGGAAAACUCUGGUUCCCGGCGCGUUACUUGACUACUACCAGUACCACAUUUGUUCAUUUUUGUGAACCUGGUAUUUUAAGCAGUACGACGAAGCGCACUUGCAAAUAUAUGUUUGACAAUAUACAGAUCAUAAAAUCACCUGUACUGCUACUUCUAAGGAGCUUUAAGUAAAGCCCCAAAGCCUACAAUAACCUGUAGUAAAACAUUUCAGGAGUGAGGAAUUCUGACAUUCAUCCUCAUACAAUACCAUACAUACAUACAUAUUUAAGAAACUUGCACUAAUUCACAGACGUUGUCCGUAAAGAUGGUCAUUGAAAACGACUUAAGAGUACAACUAAACCAGGGAUCAGCUUCAAUCUCAACGUUCAACAUUGGGAUCAAACGAACACAACACCAAUACCUUAACAAUCCAACGAACGUAGUAUGUACCAAUAAUUUGAUCUGAAAGUAA
This 3223-nucleotide ribosomal RNA is filed under the name Triticum aestivum (bread wheat). Its description in RNAcentral is "partial small subunit ribosomal RNA". The record is from RNAcentral. Lineage: Eukaryota; Viridiplantae; Streptophyta; Magnoliopsida; Poales; Poaceae.